RNAcentral lists this non-coding RNA (45 nucleotides) under Trichobilharzia regenti. The record is from RNAcentral. Lineage: Eukaryota; Metazoa; Platyhelminthes; Trematoda; Strigeidida; Schistosomatidae.
AUCCAGACGACGAGUCCCAAAUAGGAAGAAAUGCGCAUCCUGGAU